RNAcentral lists this ribosomal RNA (440 nucleotides) under uncultured bacterium. Its description in RNAcentral is "partial 16S ribosomal RNA". It matches the Rfam family "Bacterial small subunit ribosomal RNA", at positions 339 to 795 of the family's 1533-position model. The record is from RNAcentral.
CUACGGGGGGCUGCAGUGAGGAAUAUUGCACAAUGGGGGGAACCCUGAUGCAGCAACGCCGCGUGGAGGAUGACGCAUUUCGGUGUGUAAACUCCUUUUAUAUGUCAAGAAAAUGACGGUAGCAUAUGAAUAAGCACCGGCUAGACUCCGUGCCAGCAGCCGCGGUAAUACGGAGGGUGCAAGCGUUACUCGGAAUCACUGGGCGUAAAGGACGCGUAGGCGGGUUGGAAAGUCAGGUGUGAAAUCCUACAGCUUAACUGUAGAACUGCACUUGAAACUUCUAAUCUAGAGUAUGGGAGGGGGAGAUGGAAUUAGUGGUGUAGGGGUAAAAUCCGUAGAUAUCACUAGGAAUACCUAAAGCGAAGGCGAUCUCCUGGAACAUUACUGACGCUAAGGCGUGAAAGCGUGGGGAGCAAACAGGAUUAGAUACCCUAGUAGUC